AAUGAUGUGCCUGAGUAAAAGGAUUACCAUGAUAGGGUAAAUAAUGUAAACAAUUAACAAUACCUUCAUUA
Molecule: transfer RNA, 71 nt
Filed under: Balta maculata
Lineage: Eukaryota; Metazoa; Arthropoda; Insecta; Blattodea; Pseudophyllodromiidae
Description: tRNA-Ile
Source: RNAcentral